AUUCAAUUAAUUAUCAGAUUAAGGUGAGCAUCCGUGUGUACUUGGAUGAUGCUGUUAACAUAUGUGUGAAAUUGUCGUCAAACGAUUGCUGUGGCGGUUGUUGCAUGUGUUGAGGAGUUCCGUCCAGACUGAGACCUGGUCUUACAUCCACCGGCGCACCUAUUAGUAACUGCGUCGGCGAGGAAAUCAACAAGAUGAGCAUGAGCAGCAUGGUGUGCUGCUGCUGCAGCCGCUUGUUGGUGAGCAGGGUCGAGGAGAACACCCCCCGGGAGCACCCCACUUCCUCCCACAACGCCACCGCGGGCCAAAAGUUGUUGCGCCAAUGAUGCGUGUGAAAGGGAUAGCGCCGGAGAUAUUGCACCUAUGAAUAAGGAGAUAAUUGUUUUAAAAUAUAAACCAAAAUGAAGGCUUUUAAAACACCAUGAUAGCCCAUCAUAGCAUUACACGUAUAAAUUGGAGUCACGUUUUUACUUUUCCAAAACACGUAUAUCCUUUAGGCAGUUGGCAUAAUGUAGCUUUAUCCAAAACAAAUAAAAACGAAGAAAGGAAUAGUAAAAUAAUAAUACCAUUUCUGGAGUGACUUCAGCAACAUGUCAUUGUAUGCCUAUUUAUCAAUUAAUUUAUUUGUAAAAAACCUGUAAGACAAUAGGUAUGUAUAUGUAAAAGCUUAAGGAUACGAUGGUAUUGCAAACGAAUAAAAUAUCUUUGAUAAGUU
Molecule: long non-coding RNA, 715 nt
Organism: Melitaea cinxia (Glanville fritillary)
Lineage: Eukaryota; Metazoa; Arthropoda; Insecta; Lepidoptera; Nymphalidae
Exons: 3
Source: RefSeq, a predicted model, not a curated record